AUAUUUACCUGGCAGGAAAGAGGCCAUGAUCGGGCGGGUGGUUUUCCAAGGCUGAAUUUGGUCUAUUGCACUUCAGAUGUGCCAAUCCCUGCGAGUUCCCCAAAUGUGGGAACUUAACUGCAGGCUUGUGUUGUAGGGGGGCUGUGUUUGCACUCUCUCUUG
Sorex araneus (European shrew) is the source of this 162-nucleotide small nuclear RNA. Its record names the gene U1. It matches the Rfam family "U1 spliceosomal RNA". From Rfam's summary of the family: U1 is a small nuclear RNA (snRNA) component of the spliceosome (involved in pre-mRNA splicing). Its 5' end forms complementary base pairs with the 5' splice junction, thus defining the 5' donor site of an intron. The record is from Ensembl. Lineage: Eukaryota; Metazoa; Chordata; Mammalia; Eulipotyphla; Soricidae.